Molecule: ribosomal RNA, 1656 nt
Filed under: Escherichia coli
Lineage: Bacteria; Pseudomonadati; Pseudomonadota; Gammaproteobacteria; Enterobacterales; Enterobacteriaceae
Description: partial 23S ribosomal RNA
Rfam family: Bacterial large subunit ribosomal RNA
Source: RNAcentral
CGAAUGCUGACAUAAGUAACGAUAAAGCGGGUGAAAAGCCCGCUCGCCGGAAGACCAAGGGUUCCUGUCCAACGUUAAUCGGGGCAGGGUGAGUCGACCCCUAAGGCGAGGCCGAAAGGCGUAGUCGAUGGGAAACAGGUUAAUAUUCCUGUACUUGGUGUUACUGCGAAGGGGGGACGGAGAAGGCUAUGUUGGCCGGGCGACGGUUGUCCCGGUUUAAGCGUGUAGGCUGGUUUUCCAGGCAAAUCCGGAAAAUCAAGGCUGAGGCGUGAUGACGAGGCACUACGGUGCUGAAGCAACAAAUGCCCUGCUUCCAGGAAAAGCCUCUAAGCAUCAGGUAACAUCAAAUCGUACCCCAAACCGACACAGGUGGUCAGGUAGAGAAUACCAAGGCGCUUGAGAGAACUCGGGUGAAGGAACUAGGCAAAAUGGUGCCGUAACUUCGGGAGAAGGCACGCUGAUAUGUAGGUGAAGUCCCUCGCGGAUGGAGCUGAAAUCAGUCGAAGAUACCAGCUGGCUGCAACUGUUUAUUAAAAACACAGCACUGUGCAAACACGAAAGUGGACGUAUACGGUGUGACGCCUGCCCGGUGCCGGAAGGUUAAUUGAUGGGGUCAGCGCAAGCGAAGCUCUUGAUCGAAGCCCCGGUAAACGGCGGCCGUAACUAUAACGGUCCUAAGGUAGCGAAAUUCCUUGUCGGGUAAGUUCCGACCUGCACGAAUGGCGUAAUGAUGGCCAGGCUGUCUCCACCCGAGACUCAGUGAAAUUGAACUCGCUGUGAAGAUGCAGUGUACCCGCGGCAAGACGGAAAGACCCCGUGAACCUUUACUAUAGCUUGACACUGAACAUUGAGCCUUGAUGUGUAGGAUAGGUGGGAGGCUUUGAAGUGUGGACGCCAGUCUGCAUGGAGCCGACCUUGAAAUACCACCCUUUAAUGUUUGAUGUUCUAACGUGGACCCGUGAUCCGGGUUGCGGACAGUGUCUGGUGGGUAGUUUGACUGGGGCGGUCUCCUCCUAAAGAGUAACGGAGGAGCACGAAGGUUGGCUAAUCCUGGUCGGACAUCAGGAGGUUAGUGCAAUGGCAUAAGCCAGCUUGACUGCGAGCGUGACGGCGCGAGCAGGUGCGAAAGCAGGUCAUAGUGAUCCGGUGGUUCUGAAUGGAAGGGCCAUCGCUCAACGGAUAAAAGGUACUCCGGGGAUAACAGGCUGAUACCGCCCAAGAGUUCAUAUCGACGGCGGUGUUUGGCACCUCGAUGUCGGCUCAUCACAUCCUGGGGCUGAAGUAGGUCCCAAGGGUAUGGCUGUUCGCCAUUUAAAGUGGUACGCGAGCUGGGUUUAGAACGUCGUGAGACAGUUCGGUCCCUAUCUGCCGUGGGCGCUGGAGAACUGAGGGGGGCUGCUCCUAGUACGAGAGGACCGGAGUGGACGCAUCACUGGUGUUCGGGUUGUCAUGCCAAUGGCACUGCCCGGUAGCUAAAUGCGGAAGAGAUAAGUGCUGAAAGCAUCUAAGCACGAAACUUGCCCCGAGAUGAGUUCUCCCUGACCCUUUAAGGGUCCUGAAGGAACGUUGAAGACGACGACGUUGAUAGGCCGGGUGUGUAAGCGCAGCGAUGCGUUGAGCUAACCGGUACUAAUGAACCGUGAGGCUUAACCUUAC